GAUGAACGCUAGCGACAGGCCUAACACAUGCAAGUCGAGGGGCAGCACAAGGAGUAAUCUGAGGUGGCGACCGGCGCACGGGUGAGUAACACGUAUGCAACCUGCCUGUAAGCGGGGAAUAACCCGUUGAAAGACGGACUAAUACCGCAUAAUACUAAAUUACUGCAUGGUAAUUUAUUUAAACAUUUAUGGCUUACAGAUGGGCAUGCGCAUGAUUAGCUAGUUGGAGAGGUAACGGCUCCCCAAGGCAACGAUCAUUAGGGGUUCUGAGAGGAAGGUCCCCCACACUGGUACUGAGACACGGACCAGACUCCUACGGGAGGCAGCAGUGAGGAAUAUUGGUCAAUGGGCAGAGCCUGAACCAGCCAAGUCGCGUGCAGGAAGAAUGUCCUAUGGAUUGUAAACUGCUUUUGCAGGGGAAUAAAGUGAGCCACGUGUGGUUUUUUGUAUGUACUCUGCGAAUAAGGAUCGGCUAACUCCGUGCC
This 485-nucleotide ribosomal RNA is filed under the name uncultured bacterium. Its description in RNAcentral is "bacterial SSU rRNA". It matches the Rfam family "Bacterial small subunit ribosomal RNA", at positions 28 to 509 of the family's 1533-position model. The record is from RNAcentral.